RNAcentral lists this long non-coding RNA (1034 nucleotides) under Helianthus annuus (common sunflower). Its description in RNAcentral is "hypothetical non coding rna". The record is from RNAcentral. Lineage: Eukaryota; Viridiplantae; Streptophyta; Magnoliopsida; Asterales; Asteraceae.
AUGGAGUACUCGAGAACAUGUAAUAAUCAGAAGUACAAAGCCAAUAAUGCCUCAUUAUUGAGGAAGGUUGUAUUUAAGCCGAAAGUAAAUUGGUGGGUUUAAACGGGUCGAAUUUUAUGUGCAUAUGUUGCGUAAUGUAAUGCAAUUCGUUAUGGUUAAGACCUUGGGUAGGAAUUUUUAGUCAUUAUGUAAGGGGAACACUUCCCGGACCAUUAGGAACAAGUUUUAUAUGAUUCGGUUGUCGGUUAGUUAAUGAACGGAUUGUUUCAUGUUAGUGUAGGAAAUUUUAUAAGUAUAUGUGUAUAGGAACCCAAAGGGCAUGUGGGUUGAAUCAUAGAUUGUCUAUACUACGUAAAGUUGUGAAUGUGACAUUCCGGCAUAAACCUACAUGUAAAAGAAGCUUGUGUAUAUAUUCGUGAUUAAUUGAUUGUGCGUAGGAAGGAACAUUGGCAUGUAUGAAGGUACGCAUGUAUAUGUAAGUGUGUAUAUAUAUAUAUAUAUGUAUGUAUGUAUGUAUGAUAAUAAGUACGUAGGUGUGAAUGUAUGUGUGAAUGAAUGUUCAAUGCUUAAGACUUAUGCAUGAACGUUAUCAAAGUGUUCGAGUAUUCAUGGUUACUAAUGAUGUGCGUUGAGUUGGAAUGUAAGGUAGGUAUGGGAUCGUUGGCUUCAUGAAGAAAUGGAGCUGGAUUUGGAUAAGAGUAUUUAAGAAAGAGCUUGGACAAUUCCACGACUACUUUAUAGAAUGCUCUACGAAAUUCUAUUAUAUAGUUUAAUGUUGUAUGGUAUGUUAAUGACUAAUGGUUUGGUUGUACGUGGUGUCCACAGGUAUCGCUUGGGUUUUCUCUACAUUUAUUGAAGUGAAGCGGACUUAGUUCGAGUUGAGAGCAAGGAUUGUACGGGGUAGAAUGGUCACAUAGUGUAACUCAUAUAGAUUUUGAAGUAUUAAUGUUAUAAAUCCGUUUUAAUGAAUAUAUGGCUUUUCGCAUUUGAACCUUCAUGUGUUUGAUAUGUCUAUUAAAGAACGAAAUUUUUGG